GACGAACGCUGGCGGCGUGCUUAACACAUGCAAGUCGAACGGAAAGGCCCUGCUUUUGUGGGGUGCUCGAGUGGCGAACGGGUGAGUAACACGUGAGUAACCUGCCCUUGACUUUGGGAUAACUUCAGGAAACUGGGGCUAAUACCGGAUAGGAGCUCCUGCUGCAUGGUGGGGGUUGGAAAGUUUCGGCGGUUGGGGAUGGACUCGCGGCUUAUCAGCUUGUUGGUGGGGUAGUGGCUUACCAAGGCUUUGACGGGUAGCCGGCCUGAGAGGGUGACCGGCCACAUUGGGACUGAGAUACGGCCCAGACUCCUAUGGGAGGCAGCAGUGGGGAAUAUUGCACAAUGGGCGGAAGCCUGAUGCAGCAACGCCGCGUGCGGGAUGACGGCCUUCGGGUUGUAAACCGCUUUCGCCUGUGACGAAGCGUGAGUGACGGUAAUGGGUAAAGAAGUACCGGCUAACUACGUG
This 468-nucleotide ribosomal RNA is filed under the name uncultured bacterium. Its description in RNAcentral is "partial 16S ribosomal RNA". It matches the Rfam family "Bacterial small subunit ribosomal RNA", at positions 28 to 507 of the family's 1533-position model. The record is from RNAcentral.